Long non-coding RNA from Octodon degus (degu), 804 nucleotides. RefSeq lists it as uncharacterized. The record is from RefSeq and is a predicted model, not a curated record. The transcript is spliced from 3 exons. Lineage: Eukaryota; Metazoa; Chordata; Mammalia; Rodentia; Octodontidae.
CCCCCCUCGGCUUCCAGCACCUGAAGAUUGUACCUUAGGAAAGAAGAGUGUCCAGCCAACUCCCUUUCAUGGGCAGCUCACUCUGGUCUCUCAGCUCUGAAACCUGAGCUUGCCUGUUUCCAGUGUGGGAUUUCUGAUAAAUCUCACUUCUCUCACUAGGACAAUGACGUGUCUUUGGCCAGGGAUGAUGGCAGGCACAUCUCUAAGGCGGCCAGACACAUGUUGGAUGUCAGUAAAAAUGGUAGGGAAUGGAACUUCAAAGUCACUGUGGCUAUUUUCCUCCCCUGGCCCAUCCAAGGACCACCCCCUUCUACUGGCUUGCUGGGACAGAGGAUGGCGGAACAGAACAGGCCUUCUUCAUACUCUUGCCCACCUCCUGGUCCAGGUAAGUCAUCCUUAUGACUUGGCUUUUGUCACUGAGCCCUCAGAAAAACCUUCUUGGACCCCAUAUCAAGACUGACUUCCUGGGGCGGGGGGACCUGAGUUCAAUCCCUGGUUCCACAAAAAAAAAAAAAAAAGACUGACUUCCUGCUGUGGAGUCCUUUUCAUCAUUCAUGGCGUCUUUUGUUUUCAUGAGACAAGGUCUCCCUAUGUAGCCCAGGCUGGCCUUGAACUCAUGGGUGAUCUUCCUGCCUCAGCCUCCCAAGUGCUGGGACUACUACAGGUGUAGACAACCACGCCUAACCCAUUAUUCACAAUUCACAUCUUAUGCAUAACCACCUUUGAAACCACUGGUUAAAAGGAGCAGGGUAUAUAUUUAUCCUGUUAAGCUUCUUCCCAGCUCCUAGCACAGGGCUGAUUUGA